ACAGUGUAGUUGCAAAAGUGAGAAUAGGUUGGGGGUACCGAUGCAGAGUCCCUGGGGGAGAGGCCAUCUCUCAAAGAUGUGAAGAUAAAACCUGGAUUGGAUUGGAGACCCCAAGAUGUUGGAGAUACCAAAACCCUGAAUUACCCACUGAGGAGAGUUGCAGACCAGGUGACCCAGCCACAGAUGCCUCUCCAGAGCCUGAGCGAGUCUGCUUUAUGUCUAGCCUCCCCAAACACAAGCUAAGUAAACCUCUUUUCUUUACAAAGCUACCCCAUCUUCAUUUCAGCAAUAGAAACCUUGUGAGUACAAUCACAUUCUAGCCCGAGGAAUGACUUGGCUUGUCACUGAGGGACUCUGGAUGCUGAAGUGCCCGGCACCUGGAAUACCUGAGCACAGAUGAUAGUAGCUCUGCUCUGGCACUUAUGAAGGGAGAAGAUGUUGGUAUCCAAAUCAGACCAUCUUUCUGUCAGCCUGUCCAUCAUAAGAGUGAGGUGGAGCCAUGGGAUCCCACAGAGGACUUGCCAAGUUAGCAUUCAAAUUGGUUCCUCUACACUGUAGAAUAUAUGUGAUUAUGCUGGGAAGAUGAUGAACACCAAAUUCCAUGGCCAGAAGUAGAACAAGCAAACAAGCAAGGAUGCAUGCAUUUCUUCUCUGUUCUUGACUGUGAUGUGACAUUCUAAUUCCUUCCUUGACUUCGCCACAACAAUGGACUGUAACCUGGAACUGUAAGCCACAUAAACCCUUCUUUCCCUAAGUUGCUUUUUGUCAGGGUGGUUAAGCACAGCAAUGGAAAUGAAACUAGAACAGGUGAAUUCCUAGUUCAUCGAGAGACCCUGUCUUGAAAAAUAAGGACAGUGAUGGAGGUAGACACUGAAAUCUAUGAAAUCUAUUUACACACACACACACACACACACACACACACACACACACACACACACACACCAGAAUAAACAAAUACAUGACCCUAUUCCAUCCCAUCUCAUGAUGGAUUAUGGGAAGGAACCAAAGGCAUCAAAGACUGAAGAAGUUCCCAACAGCUUGUUCAUUUCCUCAUCCUCUGGUCAACCUCAGAUCUGGCACCACCCUCACCUGUGUUUUUCUACAUCUUUCUGCUUACAACUGUAUUUCCUAUCUCUAUAUUCAGAUGACACCAAAUUCCAUGGCCAGAAGCAGAAGCCCCUUGGGAUGGUUUGUAUAUGCUCUGCCCAGGAGUGGCACUAUUAGGAGGUAUGGCCUUGUUGGAGUUGAUAUGGCCCUGUUGGAGUAGGUGUGUCACUGUGGGUGUGGGUUUUAAGACCCUCAUUCUAGCUGCCUGGAAGUCAGUAUUCUCCUAUCAGCCUUCAGAUGAAGAUGUAGAACUCUCAGCUCCUCCUGCACCAUGCCUGCCUGGAUGCUGUCAUGUUCUCACCUUGAUGAUAACAGACUGAACUCUGUACCUGUAAGCCAGCCCUACUUAAAUGUUGUUCUUAUAAGAGUUGCCUUAGUCAUGGUGUCUGUUCACAGCAAUAAAACCCUAACUAAGGCACCCCUAAAAUUCUAAACACAGCUGGGAAAACAUUCUAGAAUAUUUGCAUAUGGCAGUGAAUACCCUACUUCUAAGCCAAACUCAAUCACUGGCAGGGAGAACUGGCAGCAUGAGGCUGGUAGAAGACUAAGUUACAUGAUGAUAGAAUCACAUUUAAUAAAAGCCAAGGAGCACCUGAAUUCACGUGGUGGGAUUGGAGGUGCAGGGAAAAGACCAGUAGCCAGGCAGAGGUGGGACUGGAGUCUUGGAGGGAUGCUCCCUAAGGAACUGGAAGUUCUGUGAGUUCUGGAGGGAUCUCUGCUUAGCCAGAAGUCCAAUUCAUUCCACAAAUAUUCCUUUGCCUGUAGUCUAGACACAAGACUAACUACAAAGAGAAGAACCAGGGAUGGCUUAAGGCAAGGCAGACAUUCAUUCCUGAAUAUUGUCCCCAGGAAAAGACAGAUUCCAAGUAUUUUACAUUGAAAAUUUUCUCUUCCUUCCUCCCCCCUCCCCUCCCACUUCUCUCUUCUUUUAGCUUUUCUCUUCUUUUUCUUCAUUCUUUCCUUCCCCUCUCCUCCUCAUUAACCAUUAUUACCAUCAUCAUCAUCUGCACCAUCAAUACCUUUUCUUUGAUAGUGUGGGCUAUUAAAUCCAGGGCUUUGUUCAUGCUAGGCAGGCGUCUACAACUGAGCUACAUCCCCACACUCCCCAAGUCUUCCUUUUUUAGAACAGAGUCUCACUGUGCAGCAUCGCAGCUCUCUCUGUAGAACAGGCUGUCCUCAAAUCUGUCAAGCUGUGCCUUCUGAAUGCUGGGAGGGACUGAAGGUGUGCACCACUGUGCUUGCCCUGUUUCUGUUUACCCACUUAUUAAGAAACGACAAGUGCCAGGGAAGAUGCCUUUGCAUGGAAUGACCCCCACUGAUGCUCAUUUGUAUGUUCAUACCGGCCUUCCAACAUCAACAGUGAAGAAAAUACACAAAGAGGUUUGAAUACAGAUUCAGUACGUUUCCUAGGGAUAUGGCCUCAUGGAGAAAACGGCUGUAUGUUUUUUUUUUUUUGUAAACAAAACAUUUAAAGAUUGGCUUAAAACUCGAGCUCUGCAGAUAAGUACAUACCUACCAGGAAGC
RNAcentral lists this long non-coding RNA (2631 nucleotides) under Mus musculus (house mouse). RNAcentral describes it as "RIKEN cDNA 9130221F21 gene". The record is from RNAcentral. Lineage: Eukaryota; Metazoa; Chordata; Mammalia; Rodentia; Muridae.